GAUGAACGCUGGCUACAGGCUUAACACAUGCAAGUCGAGGGGAAACGACGGGGAAGCUUGCUUCCCCGGGCGUCGACCGGCGCACGGGUGAGUAACGCGUAUCCAACCUGCCUCUGACUGAGGGAUAACCCGUCGAAAGUCGGCCUAAUACCUCAUGGCAUCGUCUGCGGGCAUCCAACGACGAUUAAAGAUUUCAUCGGUCAGGGAUGGGGAUGCGUCUGAUUAGCUAGUUGGCGGGGUAACGGCCCACCAAGGCGACGAUCAGUAGGGGUUCUGAGAGGAAGGUCCCCCACAUUGGAACUGAGACACGGUCCAAACUCCUACGGGAGGCAGCAGUGAGGAAUAUUGGUCAAGGGGCGAGAGCCUGAACCAGCCAAGUAGCGUGCAGGAUGACGGCCCUAUGGGUUGUAAACUGCUUUCAUGCGGGGAUAAAGUGAGGGACGUGUCCUUCAUUGCAGGUACCGCAUGAAUAAGGACCGGCUAAUUCCGUG
RNAcentral lists this ribosomal RNA (491 nucleotides) under uncultured bacterium. Its description in RNAcentral is "partial 16S ribosomal RNA". It matches the Rfam family "Bacterial small subunit ribosomal RNA", at positions 28 to 507 of the family's 1533-position model. The record is from RNAcentral.